CCUACGGGGGGCAGCAGUGAGGAAUAUUGGUCAAUGGCCGGGAGGCUGAACCAGCCAAGUCGCGUGAGGGAAGACGGCCCUACGGGUUGUAAACCUCUUUUGUCAGGGAGCAAGGUGCAGGUCGGGACCUGCUGUGAGAGUACCUGAAGAAAAAGCAUCGGCUAACUCCGUGCCAGCAGCCGCGGUAAUACGGGGGAUGCGAGCGUUAUCCGGAUUUCUUGGGGUUAAAGGGUGCGCAGGCGGAGGCACAAGUCAGCGGUAAAAGCGCGGGGCUCAACCCCGCUCCGCCGUUGAAACUGUGUCGCUGGAGUGCACGAAGGGUAGGCGGAAUGCGUGGUGUAGCGGUGAAAUGCAUAGAUAUCACGCAGAACUCCGAUCGCGAAGGCAGCCUACCGGCGCGCAACUGACGCUCAUGCACGAAAGCGUGGGUAGCGAACAGGAUUAGAUACCCGUGUAGUC
Molecule: ribosomal RNA, 459 nt
Filed under: uncultured bacterium
Lineage: Bacteria
Description: partial 16S ribosomal RNA
Rfam family: Bacterial small subunit ribosomal RNA
Source: RNAcentral